Molecule: ribosomal RNA, 460 nt
Filed under: uncultured bacterium
Lineage: Bacteria
Description: partial 16S ribosomal RNA
Rfam family: Bacterial small subunit ribosomal RNA
Source: RNAcentral
CUACGGGGGGCUGCAGUAGGGAAUAUUGGGCAAUGGGCGAAAGCCUGACCCAGCCAUGCCGCGUGCAGGAAGACGGCCCUCUGGGUUGUAAACUGCUUUUGAAUGGGAAGAAAGGUAUGCUUGCGAGCGUAAUUGACGGUACCAUUAGAAUAAGCCACGGCUAACUACGUGCCAGCAGCCGCGGUAAUACGUAGGUGGCGAGCGUUAUCCGGAUUUAUUGGGUUUAAAGGGUGCGUAGGCGGCUUUUUAAGUCGGUGGUUAAAGGUAGCAGCUCAACUGUUUUACAUGCUGCCGAUACUGAAGGGCUUGAGUUAUUGGAAGGCAGAUGGAAUUCCUGGUGUAGCGGUGAAAUGCAUAGAUACCAGGAGGAACACCGAUUGCGAAGGCAUUCUGCUGCAAAUAUACUGACGCUGAGGCACGAAAGCGUGGGGAUCAAACAGGAUUAGAUACCCUAGUAGUC